GAUGAACGCUGGCGGCGUGCCUAAUACAUGCAAGUCGAGCGAACAGACGAGGAGCUUGCUCCUCUGACGUUAGCGGCGGACGGGUGAGUAACACGUGGAUAACCUACCUAUAAGACUGGGAUAACUUCGGGAAACCGGAGCUAAUACCGGAUAAUAUAUUUAACCGCAUGGUUCAAUAGGGAAAGACGGUUUUGCUGUCACUUAUAGAUGGAUCCGCGCCGCAUUAGCUAGUUGGUAAGGUAACGGCUUACCAAGGCAACGAUGCGUAGCCGACCUGAGAGGGUGAUCGGCCACACUGGAACUGAGACACGGUCCAGACUCCUACGGGAGGCAGCAGUAGGGAAUCUUCCGCAAUGGGCGAAAGCCUGACGGAGCAACGCCGCGUGAGUGAUGAAGGUCUUCGGAUCGUAAAACUCUGUUAUUAGGGAAGAACAAAUGUGUAAGUAACUAUGCAUGUCUUGACGGUACCUAAUCAGAAAGCCACGGCUAACUACGUG
This 497-nucleotide ribosomal RNA is filed under the name uncultured bacterium. RNAcentral's name for it is "partial 16S ribosomal RNA". It matches the Rfam family "Bacterial small subunit ribosomal RNA", at positions 28 to 507 of the family's 1533-position model. The record is from RNAcentral.